RNAcentral lists this ribosomal RNA (868 nucleotides) under uncultured bacterium. RNAcentral's name for it is "bacterial SSU rRNA". It matches the Rfam family "Bacterial small subunit ribosomal RNA", at positions 9 to 873 of the family's 1533-position model. The record is from RNAcentral.
GAGUUUGAUCAUGGCUCAGAUUGAACGCUGGCGGCAUGCCUUACACAUGCAAGUCGAACGGUAACGCGGGGCAACCUGGCGACGAGUGGCGAACGGGUGAGUAAUAUAUCGGAACGUGCCCAGUAGUGGGGGAUAGCCCGGCGAAAGCCGGAUUAAUACCGCAUACGACCUACGGGUGAAAGCGGGGGAUCGCAAGACCUCGCGCUAUUGGAGCGGCCGAUAUCAGAUUAGGUAGUUGGUGGGGUAAAAGCCUACCAAGCCGACGAUCUGUAGCUGGUCUGAGAGGACGACCAGCCACACUGGGACUAAGACACGGCCCAGACUCCUACGGGAGGCAGCAGUGGGGAAUUUUGGACAAUGGGCGCAAGCCUGAUCCAGCCAUGCCGCGUGCGGGAAGAAGGCCUUCGGGUUGUAAACCGCUUUUGUCAGGGAAGAAAUCCUUUGAGUUAAUACCUCGAGGGGAUGACGGUACCUGAAGAAUAAGCACCGGCUAACUACGUGCCAGCAGCCGCGGUAAUACGUAGGGUGCAAGCGUUAAUCGGAAUUACUGGGCGUAAAGCGUGCGCAGGCGGUUGUGCAAGACAGGUGUGAAAUCCCCGGGCUUAACCUGGGAACUGCACUUGUGACUGCACAGCUGGAGUGCGGCAGAGGGGGAUGGAAUUCCGCGUGUAGCAGUGAAAUGCGUAGAUAUGCGGAGGAACACCGAUGGCGAAGGCAAUCCCCUGGGCCUGCACUGACGCUCAUGCACGAAAGCGUGGGGAGCAAACAGGAUUAGAUACCCUGGUAGUCCACGCCCUAAACGAUGUCAACUGGUUGUUGGACGGCUUGCUGUUCAGUAACGUAGCUAACGCGUGAAGUUGACCCGCCC